UAAGACAGAGGUGGCAAGCGUUGUUCGGAUUUACUGGGCGUAAAGAGCGUGUAGGCGGUUGGGCAAGUCAGUUGUGAAAUCCUAUGGCUUAACCAUGGAAUUGCUUCUGAUACUGCUCAGCUAGAGUGCAGGAGAGGAGAGUGGAAUUUCCAGUGUAGCGGUGAAAUGCGUAGAUAUUGGAAGGAACACCGGUGGCGAAGGCGGCUCUCUGGCCUGUAACUGACGCUGAGAUGCGAAAGCGUGGGGAGCAAACAGGAUUAGAUACCCUGGUAGUCCACGCCCUAAACGAUGGGCACUAAGUGUCGGAGGUAUCGACCCCUCCGGUGCCGCACCUAACGGAGUAAGUGCCCCGCCUGGGGAGUACGGCCGCAAGGUUG
RNAcentral lists this ribosomal RNA (377 nucleotides) under uncultured bacterium. Its description in RNAcentral is "bacterial SSU rRNA". It matches the Rfam family "Bacterial small subunit ribosomal RNA", at positions 521 to 896 of the family's 1533-position model. The record is from RNAcentral.